GACGAACGCUGGCGGCGUGCUUAACACAUGCAAGUCGAACGGAAAGGCUCCAUCUUGCGGGAAUACUCGAGUAGCGAACGGGUGAGUAACACGUGGGUAAUCUGCCCUGCACUCUGGGAUAAGGCUGGGAAACUGGGACUAAUACUGGAUAUGACUGUUCUCCUUAGGGGGUUGGGUGGAAAGUUUUUCGGUGUAGGAUGAGCCCGCGGCCUAUCAGCUUGUUGGUGGGGUGAUGGCCUACCAAGGCGACGACGGGCAGCCGGCCGGGGGGGGUGCCCGGCCACAUUGGGACUGGGAUAGGGCCCGACCUCCUACGGGAGGAAGCGGUGGGGAAUAUUGCACAAUGGGCGGAGGCCUGAUGCAGCGACGCCGCGUGGGGAAUGACGGCCUUCGGGUUGUAAACCUUUUUCGGAAGGGACGAGGCGUAAGUGACGGUACCUGCAGAAGAAGCACCGGCUAACUACGUG
This 467-nucleotide ribosomal RNA is filed under the name uncultured bacterium. RNAcentral's name for it is "partial 16S ribosomal RNA". It matches the Rfam family "Bacterial small subunit ribosomal RNA", at positions 28 to 507 of the family's 1533-position model. The record is from RNAcentral.